Molecule: small nucleolar RNA, 103 nt
Filed under: Dasypus novemcinctus (nine-banded armadillo)
Lineage: Eukaryota; Metazoa; Chordata; Mammalia; Cingulata; Dasypodidae
Description: Small nucleolar RNA SNORA32 (ENSDNOG00000029796.1)
Source: RNAcentral
AGGAUAAUCUCCUUUAUAAAGCCAACUGAGGAGUUGACCAUUAAAAAGCUCCCCUAGGCUGUCUUUUGCUGCCUUGCUAGCAUUCAGCCUAUUGGGAACAUUC